This 88-nucleotide non-coding RNA is filed under the name Alkaliphilus peptidifermentans DSM 18978. RNAcentral describes it as "c-di-GMP-I riboswitch aptamer". It matches the Rfam family "c-di-GMP-I riboswitch aptamer". From Rfam's summary of the family: GEMM was predicted in a large-scale screen for bacterial structured RNA regulatory elements. Genes associated with GEMM are involved in a diverse array of functions, including chemotaxis regulation, signal transduction, secretion and chitin. Lineage: Bacteria; Bacillati; Bacillota; Clostridia; Peptostreptococcales; Natronincolaceae. The record is from Rfam by way of RNAcentral.
UAAUGUAAAUGGCAAACUUAUUGAAAGAUAAGGGCGCAAAACCAUGUAUCUAAGGGGUUAAAAAUCCUAUGAAUGACAGGUUACCAUU